RNAcentral lists this ribosomal RNA (250 nucleotides) under uncultured bacterium. Its description in RNAcentral is "partial 16S ribosomal RNA". It matches the Rfam family "Bacterial small subunit ribosomal RNA", at positions 524 to 773 of the family's 1533-position model. The record is from RNAcentral.
UACGUGGGGUGCAAGCGUUGUUCGGAAUUACUGGGCGUAAAGCGCGUGUAGGCGGCUGAACGGGUCGUAUGUGAAAGCCCUCGGCUUAACCGAGGAAGUGCGUACGAAACUAUUUAGCUCGAGUACGGGAGAGGAGGGUGGAAUUCCCAGUGUAGAGGUGAAAUUCGUAGAUAUUGGGAGGAACACCGGUGGCGAAAGCGGCUCUCUGGACCGUAACUGACGCUGAGACGCGAAAGCGUGGGGAUCAAAC